Molecule: non-coding RNA, 53 nt
Submitted as: unclassified sequences
Source: Rfam
AGAUAUGUUCGUACAGUAGCGAACAGGGUAAUAAAAAGAAAUACUAACUAAGA